Long non-coding RNA from Dendroctonus ponderosae (mountain pine beetle), 677 nucleotides. RefSeq lists it as uncharacterized. The record is from RefSeq and is a predicted model, not a curated record. The transcript has 2 exons. Lineage: Eukaryota; Metazoa; Arthropoda; Insecta; Coleoptera; Curculionidae.
UCUCUUCAGAUGCGUUCAGGCCUGGAAAAACCAGCCUUGGAUGAAGCCUUUGAUUUCAACGAUGAACAUGCUUGGAUGUUUUGCAACGCCUGACUAUAUUGCAGGCUGGGGACAGUGGAAUUUUGAGAAAAUGCCCAGUACGAAACCCAUCAGAAGUGCCUAAAUAAACAAUCAUUGAAAUCCGUCCUUGGAAUCACAGACAACUUUGUUGUUUAUGUACAUGUUUAUUAAGAGCGAUGAUAACAAGAUUAACAUCGAUAAACGUUCGAGCUGCGUUGAAUAUUUACCGAUUGCACAACGAUGUCGUACCUACAUAUAUGUUAGUCAAGCAGCUCAGGACCAUCAUAAAAAGUUCACACCUAAAGUGAUUAAAUUAAAAUGUGCAUUUGCCUGGCAACGUUUCAAUGUCAUUGCAAAAAUCUAUCUAUGUAAUGGACGUGGGAGGUGAAUGAUGCAUGAUACCACUGAAUCCAUCACGUUCAUUCAAUGAAAUCAAGCGCCUAUUUAUUGCAAGGUUAAUAUAUUAUUGAUUCGUGCUGAUGCCUAUAUUGUAUGUCCGAUUGGCCAAGGAAUAAUGAAAGUUUCAAUAUGGAACGUAUCUAGUCGUAUUGAUAUCUGCGAAACUCUCAAUUUAUGCAAAAGCAAAGCAAGAAGACGAUUUAGGGCGGCAAUUAUCU